RNAcentral lists this long non-coding RNA (1309 nucleotides) under Salmo salar (Atlantic salmon). RNAcentral describes it as "lncRNA (ENSSSAG00000095608.1)". Lineage: Eukaryota; Metazoa; Chordata; Actinopteri; Salmoniformes; Salmonidae. The record is from RNAcentral.
CUUCUUUGCCAUCUCUAUCAAUUACAAAGGAUCUCUGCUAUAACGUGACACUUCCUAUGGCUCACAUGGUCUCUCAGAAGGCGGCAAAAAGCUGAAUCGUGGCUUUGCAGGCUCUGGCUGAAACAAAGUAGCGCGUUUGGGUAGUGGCUGGUUACAGUACUGUGAGACUCAGGCUCGUGCCCGCGUCGACCGAAUGCUUUCUUUUCCUUUGUCUGUUUACCUAAAAGGAUAUUCCCGGUCGGAAUAUUAUCGCUUUUAUGCGAAAAAAAUGGCAUAAAAAUGGAUUUUAAACAGCGGUUGACAUGCUUCGAAGUACGGUAAUGGAAUAUUUAGAUUUUUUUUGUCACGAAUUGCGCCAUGCUCGUAACCCUGAUUUACCAUUUUGGAUAGUUUCUGGAACGCACGAACAAAACGCCGCUAUUCGGAUAUAACGAUGGAUUAUUUGGGACCAAACCAACAUUUGUUAUUGAAGUAGCAGUCCUGGGAGUGCAUUCUGACGAAGACAACAAAAGAGGACCUGAGCCCUAGGACCAUGCCUCAGGACUACCUGACAUGAUGACUCCUUGCUGUCCCCAGUCCACCUGGCCGUGCUGCUGCUCCAGUUUCAACUGUUCUGCCUGCGGCUAUGGAACCCUGACCUGUUCACCGGACGUGCUUCCUGUCCCAGACCUGCUGUUUUCAACUCUCUAGAGACAGCAGGAGCGGUAGAGAUACUCUCAAUGAUCGGCUAUGAAAAGCCAACUUACAUUUACUCUUGAGGUGCUGACUUGUUGCACCCUCAACAACUGUGAUUAUUAUUAUUUGACCAUGCUGGUCAUUUAUGAACAUUUGAACAUCUUGGCCAUGUUCUGUUAUAAUCUCCACCCGGCACAACCAGAAGAGGACUGGCCACCCCUCAUAGCCUGGUUCCUCUCUAGGUUUCUUCCUAGGUUUUGGCCUUUCUAGGGAGUUUUUCCUAGCCACCGUGCUUCUACACCUGCAUUGCUUGCUGUUUGGGGUUUUAGGCUGGGUUUCUGUACAGCACUUUGAGAUAUCAGCUGAUGUAAGAAGGGCUAUAUAAAUAAAUUUGAUUUGAUUUGAAGCAUUUUUAAUGGACUAGUAAAUUGUGUAUUCAUUACUCCAUUCGUAAGAUGUUUAAUAUAGGUCUUUAUAACCCAUUUACUAAUCAUUAGUUAAGUAUUUUUGCAUGGGCUAUUUAUACUUUAGAAAUACUUUAGAAAUUAUUUGAGUGACCAGUGCAAUUUCUCGCAAAAAAGAUGGACAUACCAUUGGUAGACAUUCCAGCAGUACCUGAUGCUCCUGAAAGGAC